RNAcentral lists this ribosomal RNA (200 nucleotides) under uncultured prokaryote. RNAcentral describes it as "partial 16S ribosomal RNA". It matches the Rfam family "Bacterial small subunit ribosomal RNA", at positions 1183 to 1382 of the family's 1533-position model. The record is from RNAcentral.
CGUCAAAUCAUCAUGCCCUUUAUGUCCUGGGCUACACACGUAAUACAAUGGCGCCGAACAGAGGGAAGCGAGGCCGCGAGGCGGAGCGAAUCCCCAAAAGGCGCCCCAGUUCGGAUCGCAGGCUGCAACCCGCCUGCGUGAAGCCGGAAUUGCUAGUAAUCGCGGAUCAGCAAGCCGCGGUGAAUACGUUCCCGGGCCUU